GACGAACGCUGGCGGCGUGCUUAACACAUGCAAGUCGAACGGAAAGGCCCUGCUUUUGUGGGGUGCUCGAGUGGCGAACGGGUGAGUAACACGUGAGUAACCUGCCCUUGACUUUGGGAUAACUUCAGGAAACUGGGGCUAAUACCGGAUAGGAGCUCCUGCUGCAUGGUGGGGGUUGGAAAGUUUCGGCGGUUGGGGAUGGACUUGCGGCUUAUCAGCUUGUUGGUGGGGUUGUGGCUUACCAAGGCUUUGACGGGUAGGCGGCCUGAGAGGGUGGCCGGCCACAUUGGGACUGAGAUACGGCCCAGACUCCUACGGGAGGCAGCAGUGGGGAGUAUUGCACAAUGGGCGGGAGCCUGAUGCAGCAACGCCGCGUGCGGGAAGACGGCCUUCGCGUUGUAAUCCGCUUUCGCCUGUGACGAAGCGUGAGUGACGGUAAUGGGUGAAGAAGCACCGGCUAACUACGUG
RNAcentral lists this ribosomal RNA (468 nucleotides) under uncultured bacterium. Its description in RNAcentral is "partial 16S ribosomal RNA". It matches the Rfam family "Bacterial small subunit ribosomal RNA", at positions 28 to 507 of the family's 1533-position model. The record is from RNAcentral.